Long non-coding RNA from Hippocampus comes (tiger tail seahorse), 711 nucleotides. RefSeq lists it as uncharacterized. NCBI's taxonomy places the organism in Eukaryota, Metazoa, Chordata, Actinopteri, Syngnathiformes, Syngnathidae. The record is from RefSeq and is a predicted model, not a curated record. The transcript has 4 exons.
GCUGCUGGGAGAUGGUGAUCUGCAUUUCUUUGGAUGGCCGCUUGUUCUCCUUGAAGAUGGCGAUGAGCGUGCGCCGCUGCAGGCUUGGCGUGGAUGGCAGCAGUGGGAGGGAUGGGGAUGAAAGUGGGAGGCAGAGAGGGGAAAAGAACACAAGGCAAGUAAACCUCAAGUCGGAGCCUCAAUAAACAGCUUGAGGCAAGUACUCAGCCUACGCAUUGAAUUGUUCACUAUCUGCCAAAGUGCUCCUUGUUAUGAAGUUUGCUGACCCCAUCCAGCGCAUGAAACUCAAAAGCAAGAAUUUGUACGAGCGACAGCUGGAAUCUCAAAGAAUUUGUAAGUUGAGAAGAGAUGCACACUCCUAUUUGUGCCCUUACUACAAAUGUGCCUGUUUGGAACCCAAUUUGGCUUCCUACCCGAGUUGAUGGACUCCUGCUGUAGCCCUUAUUUCAAGACUCUGCAAAUCUUGAGACUCCAAGGUAAAGUUUUAGAGUUACCCUUUUCCAGAGCAAAAAAUUGGAGCUAAAAUUGGUUCCUUGAUGGGGUUUUUGGGGGAAUGAGUUCAAAAUUGUGUUCCACUUUUGUAUUAGCACGUGCACAAUUUCUCAGAAAAGGGACUUUAUCUUUCAUGCAUGAUUAGUUUCUUGUCAUUUCGUAUCGCUGGACUACUGGGAAACACCCAAUUUGCCUCGGUACUUUACGAAAGGUACAAUU